CUGAGAAUCUUCCGCAAUGGACGAAAGUCUGACGGAGCGACAUCGCGUGAGGGAUGAAUGCCUUAGGGUUGUAAACCUCAAAAAUUACCGAAGAAUAAAUGACAGUAGGUAAUGUAAGCCUCGGCUAACUACGUGCCAGCAGCCGCGGUAAUACGUAGGAGGCAAACGUUGCUCGGAUUUACUGGGCGUAAAGGGUGAGUAGGCUGGAUUAUAAGUCUAGGGUGAAAGACCGAAGCUCAACUUCGGAAACGCCUCGGAUACUGUAGUCCUAGGGUAUAGCAGAGGAUGAUGGAAUUCCUGGUGUAACGGUGGAAUGUAUAGAUAUCAGGAAGAACACCAAUGGCGAAGGCAGUCAUCUGGGUUAUUACCGACGCUGAAUCACGAAAGCUAGGGGAGCAAACA
Molecule: ribosomal RNA, 402 nt
Filed under: uncultured Brachyspira sp.
Lineage: Bacteria; Pseudomonadati; Spirochaetota; Spirochaetia; Brachyspirales; Brachyspiraceae
Description: partial 16S ribosomal RNA
Rfam family: Bacterial small subunit ribosomal RNA
Source: RNAcentral